CGCUGCAGGAGAGCUUUGCGUCCCAUUAGUUAGUUGGUGAGGUAACGGCUCACCAAGACCGCGAUGGGUAGCCGGCCUGAGAGGGUGAACGGCCACAAGGGGACUGAGACACGGCCCUAACUCCUACGGGAGGCAGCAGUGAGGAAUAUUGGUCAAUGGACGAGAGUCUGAACCAGCCAAGUAGCGUGAAGGAUGACUGCCUAUGGGUUGUAAACUUCUUUUAUACGGGAAUAAGUGAGGCACGUGUGCCUUUUUGUAUGUACCGUAUGAAUAAGGAUCGGCUAACUCCGUGCCAGCAGCCGCGGUAAUACGGAGGAUCCGAGCGUUAUCCGGAUUUAUUGGGUUUAAAGGGAGCGUAGGCGGACGCUUAAGUCAGUUGUGAAAGUUUGCGGCUCAACCGUAAAAUUGCAGUUGAUACUGGGUGUCUUGAGUACAGUAGAGGCAGGCGGAAUUCGUGGUGUAGCGGUGAAAUGCUUAGAUAUCACGAAGAACUCCGAUUGCGAAGGCAGCCUGCUGGACUGUAACUGACGCUGAUGCUCGAAAGUGUGGG
This 550-nucleotide ribosomal RNA is filed under the name uncultured bacterium. RNAcentral describes it as "bacterial SSU rRNA". It matches the Rfam family "Bacterial small subunit ribosomal RNA", at positions 216 to 765 of the family's 1533-position model. The record is from RNAcentral.